Long non-coding RNA from Clarias gariepinus (North African catfish), 2262 nucleotides. RefSeq lists it as uncharacterized. The record is from RefSeq and is a predicted model, not a curated record. The transcript is spliced from 3 exons. NCBI's taxonomy places the organism in Eukaryota, Metazoa, Chordata, Actinopteri, Siluriformes, Clariidae.
CUCUCUCUCUCUCUCUCUCUCUCUCUCUUUCACCCCUCUGGCUUUUUAUGUGUCAGACUGAGCGUCCCAGGAGGCUGCAUGGCCUCUAUGGUCCAGAAAAGAGCGGGACUGGUCAAAGCCCACCUGUUCAGCAUUUACAAAGAAGGAACAAAGAAUGACAAGUCUAUAGGUCAUGGAGGCCUGGAGCCUACUGUACUAUAUCUCAGGAGACCCAGGCGGGACACAUCCCGGACAGGGUGCCAAUACAUCGCAGGACACACACACACACACACACACACACAUACACACACUCACACAAAACGGGCAAUAUGAAAACACCAAUUACUAUGGCCUAAUCUGCAGGUCUUGAAUGAAAACCAGAGUACCUGGAGGAAACCCACCAAGGACGGGGAAAACAAACAAACUCCAUGCACACAGAGACGGGAAUCGAACCUGGACCCUGGAGAUACUACUAGCAGAGAGAGGACCAUCAGAAUGUUUCAACUUGGUGCAAUGCAAGCAGACAUCACUAGAAGAUUUGGAGGAACUGUGGAAUAGAUUUUGAGCAACUGGUUCCACUGCUGAUCUUCCGUCCCAGGUCUGGAAGACUGAGAAUAGCAACGCCAAGACAAGACAGACUCAUUCUUUGGCAUCAUUUGACAAAUGGUACAAAGGAAGCUGCUGGUAUUAGACGAUAAGUUGUCAGACUAUUUAACUAAUGGCAAUAGUGCACCAAUGCUGACAUUGACAACAUCUUCUGAAUUUUGAAUUUCUGGUGCUGAUGGACACACCAGAUUUUUCUACAAGUAAAAAAAUACAUUUUAUGAGAAAUUUAUACCUGGAAUAUGUCUUUUGUCCUGAAUUAAUAAUUACUCAGGCCUUUUAUUUCUUUUUCUAAAUCUAUAAAUAAUUUUGUAAGAAGAUUACAAAGGCACAUUCUUAAAUGAAUUUGGAUAGCAUGAGUUCUGUUAAUAAGCAUACUUUCACAACAAUUGCAGAAUAUGCACUACAGUAAGACAUUUAGGUCUAUAUAUUUUAGACGAGCGGUUAUUAUGAUGACACUGCUGUUGAUAAAUAAAUAAAACAAAUCUCAAAAUUUUGCAGAAAUUACAGAAAAUGUAUGUAUUGCUACAAGAUGUAAAUUUCUGGAGGAUAACAAAGCCACAUGUAGGAUCAGUUACUGUGAGGUGCUUCAGUGAAUACAGAGCACACCACGGUGCUGUUUCAGCAGUUUCUGCAUGCAAGGUUGCAACUGAUUAGAUCGAUGUCAACCCUAAAUUAAUUUAGAGCCUAUACAGGCCCUGGCUCCUCUUUCUGUUCUAGCUGAAGCAAUAUGGCACAUGGGGGAUGAGAACAUACACUGCAGUGGAAAGUGGUGAACACAGAUUAAUCAUCAACACAUAUACACACACAUGCACUAACACACACACACACACACACACACACUCAUAUGUGUGCACAUACACCAUCCUCGUCCAGCUGUCGAAGUCGGCGCUGUCGCCAUAGCGACAGCAGAGUGCUGCUCAACAUCCUGGCCAACAGCUGCUCUCUGUGGAGACGGUAUUGAUUGAGUCUGUUCUCGCCCCACUCUACCCAAAUGUCUGUGUUCGUGCGUUAAUGCACCUGAGGCAAACUGGUAAAACACCUUAUCCAUGUAUGUUCAUGUGCCUAUACAGUAAUAACUACUGUUUUUAGUUGGAGUGAACCAGCUAAUGCUAAACCCUAAAAAAAAAGAAAAAAAGAUCCAGCCCUGGUCUCAUUGUUCCUGUGUAGGCCCGGUGAUAGGUCCUUCACAAGACCCUUCAUUUCCUUUCAGCACACUGUGUAUCAUCAAAGCCAGGAUUAUCGUGGGCUGAGCCGGAGAUCCAAACCUGAGCACCUGACAGAUCUAAGCUUAUUAGUGCUCAUGAAAAGAAACCUGCACAGGAAGCGUUUAGAGUUUAGAGCUAGCUGGAGAUGAAACGUACAGUAGAUCAUUCUCUAGCACUUCACCUCACUUUUAGAUAAAGCGUAACAAAAGGCGAAUGGGAAAUUAAUAAGAGUUUAAUGUUGUCUGUGUGUGUGUUUAAUCAAGUGCUAUAAAAUGCAAUUUUUUUUUUGUAACUUCUAUCCUUGUUGUUUUCUGAAUCUCACCAGAGACAGGCAUAUUUCCAGCUGCCUAUCACCUGCCACUAGUUCCCUCACCUUCCCCAUGCAGUUUCAUCUUGAACACUUAUCAUCACCUUCUGUUCAGAAAACCUUUCACAGCUCUUAGAUGUGCCAUCACAGUCCAGUCUGUGUUUC